Molecule: ribosomal RNA, 202 nt
Filed under: uncultured Ottowia sp.
Lineage: Bacteria; Pseudomonadati; Pseudomonadota; Betaproteobacteria; Burkholderiales; Comamonadaceae
Description: partial 16S ribosomal RNA
Rfam family: Bacterial small subunit ribosomal RNA
Source: RNAcentral
ACGUCAAGUCCUCAUGGUCCCUUAUCGGUAGGGCUUCACACGUCAUACAAUGGUCGGUACAGAGGGUUGCCAAGCCGCGAGGCGGAGCCAAUCCAAAAAGCCGGCCUCAGUUCAGAUUGUAGGCUGCAACUCGCCUGCAUGAAGAUGGAGUUGCUAGUAACCGCAGGUCAGCAAUACUGCGGUGAAUACGUUCCCGGGUCUU